Molecule: long non-coding RNA, 582 nt
Organism: Cercocebus atys (sooty mangabey)
Lineage: Eukaryota; Metazoa; Chordata; Mammalia; Primates; Cercopithecidae
Exons: 5
Source: RefSeq, a predicted model, not a curated record
ACAGAAAGAGAAUAGAAGUCUUUCAAAAUUGUUGGAAAAUUAUCUGGAAAUUGUAAGUGCUCCAGGCAAAAGUCUGGCUGUGAUAUGACUUCUGGGAGACACUUCUCACAAGAGGGAAGAUAAGUACUGUCAGACCACAGAUCCCUGUUCCCGGGGAGCAUGCACCAGGGAAUACAAGAAAGUGGUGGUCCACAACCUUUUUGGCACCAGGGACCGGUUUCAAGGAAGACAAUUUUUCCAUGGACCGAGGGUCGGAAGACAAUGGUUGGAUUCUGCUUCACUAGUAGUCCAUCUCAAUGAAUCGGUUCCACAUAUUGCCUUCAAGAUUAAUUUACUUUUUCUUCUCCGGGACACAGCGUUCAGAAAACCCAAAUAGAAAAGCCACCAAGCUUACCAUUUCAACCAAGGAUAAAUAUAAGAACAUCCCAGCAGUGACUGUGAAGAUCCAGUCUUGAACGCAUGGAUCAGCUGACACGGAAAGGCCAAUGUAUAAUCCUAUGAAGGCAGUUAGGGAACUUACAAAAUUCAUCAGGAUGGCAGUCUUCAUAGAAAGUCCGGAGCUUAAGAGCACAGCAAAGUCUC